CGCNUUCGACGCACAUUGCGGUCCACNGAUACAAUUCCCGGACCACGCCUGGCUGAGGGUCGUUUAUAAUAUAAAAACUGCUUAUCUUUCUUAAUUGAAAAGAUUUAAGCGAAAUAAUGAAUGUUCAUCAAUAUAUUUUUUAUCUUUUUUUAAAAAGAAAAAAAAACAAUUGGUGUCAUUUGAAAUAAGUUGAAUAUAUACAUAUAUUUCAGUCACAUUUGAAUGAAAGAAAAAAAGCACAUACCACAACUUUAUUGAACGAUAAAUUCACGUAUCAAUAUAUAAAGACACUUGUAAUAUUGAUAUAUUGUGCAUUUAAAAAUUUCUGUUUGGUUGUUGUCAUUGUGUCAAUGAGUAAGUUAUACUUCAGACCGAUGAUUAUCAAUAUACCAACAGAAUUAAAUGACUUUGAAAAAAAAUAUAUCAUACAAGACUAUUUUCUUUUUUGAACGUUUUGUCUAAUUGAUACAAAUAAGUGAAUUAUUUUGUGUGUUAAUGUGUCUAUUUUUUUUUGUGACUA
This 520-nucleotide unclassified non-coding RNA is filed under the name Leptopilina sp. BN-2010c. Its description in RNAcentral is "partial ITS2". Lineage: Eukaryota; Metazoa; Arthropoda; Insecta; Hymenoptera; Figitidae. The record is from RNAcentral.